CGUCAAUGCAGCUGCCGUUCGCGCUGACACAUCUGCUCCACGAGCUUGUUCCGGCAAUUGGGAGCGCAAGCUUCUCAGCUUUAAAAGCAAAUAGGCGCAUUCACACGUACGCACAUAUAAAUUUGUGCGUCAAUUUCAUGCUGAUGGCAGCAGUACCUGCCUUAUAGCUCUUGCCUUCAAUUGUGCCGAUUCAGUUUACAAAGGAAAGUUUUAAAAGAUAGUCGUGAUUCGCGGGUGGCUAUUUGUUGUAAACGUGGAAAAAAAUUAUCAAAGCGGACUUCCAUCGGUAAUAUUGAAAAUCAAAGUAAACACCGAAGUAUUAAUCGAAUUGGGUGUAACCUUCACAAUAGGUAUCGACGUACGAAGUAUUCUAAAGAUCUACAUACCUAUCUAUUCGAAAAGCCAGUGAAUGUAAGGGGAGUGUUAACAAUUU
This is a long non-coding RNA of Rhagoletis pomonella (apple maggot), 433 nucleotides long. RefSeq lists it as uncharacterized. The record is from RefSeq and is a predicted model, not a curated record. NCBI's taxonomy places the organism in Eukaryota, Metazoa, Arthropoda, Insecta, Diptera, Tephritidae. The transcript is spliced from 2 exons.